RNAcentral lists this ribosomal RNA (301 nucleotides) under uncultured bacterium. RNAcentral's name for it is "partial 16S ribosomal RNA". It matches the Rfam family "Bacterial small subunit ribosomal RNA", at positions 509 to 807 of the family's 1533-position model. The record is from RNAcentral.
CAGCCGCCGCGGGAAUACGUAGGGUGCAAGCGUUAAUCGGAAUUACUGGGCGUAAAGCGUGCGUAGGCGGCUAAUUGAGUCGGAUGUGAAAUCCCCGAGCUUAACUUGGGAAUUGCAUUCGAUACUGGUUAGCUAGAGUGUGGGAGAGGAUGGUAGAAUUCCAGGUGUAGCGGUGAAAUGCGUAGAGAUCUGGAGGAAUACCGAUGGCGAAGGCAGCCAUCUGGCCUAACACUGACGCUGAGGUACGAAAGCAUGGGGAGCAAACAGGAUUAGAUACCCCGGUAGUCCCUGUCUCUUAUAC